UUGGGUUAUCGUCUGCAUUCCUGACGUAGUGUUUACAGCUUCCUGCUUAUGGCAACAAGGAAGCAGAACGCAGAGUGAUGAGAGAUUUAUGUGGAUAUGAUAGCACUGGACACUUCGAGGCUCCAUUGGCAAAACAUGCGGCAAAUAGGAAACCAAGGGUAGACCUUUGACAUUUAAGAAGUAUAUGCCCUAAGAUUUCUACAGAUCCUGAAAUUCAUCACUACGGCAGAAUCACGCAUCUUAUGAAAACCAAGAAUAAAAUGACACCUGACAACCUUGCCAGCUCAGCACAUCUGGAGGCACUAAAUGUCUGAC
Molecule: long non-coding RNA, 315 nt
Filed under: Homo sapiens (human)
Lineage: Eukaryota; Metazoa; Chordata; Mammalia; Primates; Hominidae
Description: HSALNT0333192
Source: RNAcentral